This 871-nucleotide transfer RNA is filed under the name uncultured Synechococcus sp. RNAcentral's name for it is "16S-23S ribosomal RNA intergenic spacer". The stretch from base 283 to 355 matches the Rfam family "tRNA". The record is from RNAcentral. Lineage: Bacteria; Bacillati; Cyanobacteriota; Cyanophyceae; Synechococcales; Synechococcaceae.
CAGGGAGACAAACCUAAUCGUGAUGUCUGAGUAAAUUUAAUCUCAGGCCAUGAUUCUGUCACCUUAGGUCGAUCGGUACCUCAAGGAGCGGAAGGGAGAACGUGAGCAAUCAGGGGAGACUUUAUUCUGCUUUUUCAGUUUCUAAACGUUGUCUAGGUCACCCCAUAGCUCCUGGGCCAUUAGCUCAGGUGGUUAGAGCGCACCCCUGAUAAGGGUGAGGUCCCUGGUUCAAGUCCAGGAUGGCCCAUGCACCGCCUGCUAAGCAGGCAGGACUUGCUGGCUGGGGGUUUAGCUCAGUUGGUAGAGCGCCUGCUUUGCAAGCAGGAUGUCAGCGGUUCGAGUCCGCUAACCUCCAUAUCAACGGAGAAACCCACAAGCGCAAGCAAGUGAGCUGAGCGGGAGUGAACCAGACAGGGAAGGAGAGAAUGGAUCCGAGCCAUUGUGAUCCAUCAGCUGAGGAUGACUCCAGCCUUCAGGAUUAGGGCGCAAAGCAGCGCACCAGUUCAUGCCGUAUCGCAAUAAAGCGGUAUGAGUAAAGAGAUCUUGAAUGCUGGACUCACAGCAGUGAACGCGAGUUGACUGUUGAGAAGUUCAGCGAAGAACCUUGACAACUGCAUAGGUGAGUCUGGAAAGAAAGCAUCUCAUGGAUGUCCAGUGAAGGCUGGAGAUUCUAUUGAGUUUAGAGCCGAGACUUUCCAGUGUUCUUCCAAGUAGCUAGCCAAUCCAGCUAGGGAAAGGGAGUUUGAUUGUGGCAUUCAAACCACGAGCCACUCGACUGAGAAACUGCCAAAAGCAGGGAUUCAGAGAGGUGAGUGAGCAGGUGAAUCCGCGAGAAUAGGCCUCAACAGCCUGAAGCACUGGGAAGGAAAUU